AAUCACGAGUUCCGGUGCGAAGCCCUGGCUGGCCGGACUGCAACCCUCUCGCUGUAGUGGGGUGCACCAGGUGAUGAUUCGGCCGGCCCGCAGCGGUGACCGGCAAGUACAGCCG
RNAcentral lists this non-coding RNA (115 nucleotides) under Citricoccus sp. K5. RNAcentral's name for it is "SAM-IV". It matches the Rfam family "SAM (S-adenosyl methionine) riboswitch aptamer". Rfam says of the family: SAM-IV is a mRNA element that regulates gene expression via direct sensing of S-adenosylmethionine (SAM or AdoMet). SAM-IV riboswitches share conserved nucleotide positions with the previously described SAM-I riboswitches sequence analysis and molecular recognition experiments suggest that SAM-I and SAM-IV riboswitches share similar ligand binding sites, but have different scaffolds. The record is from RNAcentral. Lineage: Bacteria; Bacillati; Actinomycetota; Actinomycetes; Micrococcales; Micrococcaceae.